UGGAAGUAAAAGUCGUAACAAGGUCUCCGUUGGUGAACCAGCGGAGGGAUCAUUACCGAGUUUACAACUCCCAAACCCAAUGUGAACGUUACCAAACUGUUGCCUCGGCGGGAUCUCUGCCCCGGGUGCGUCGCAGCCCCGGACCAAGGCGCCCGCCGGAGGACCAACCUAAAACUCUUAUUGUAUACCCCCUCGCGGGUUUUUUUAUAAUCUGAGCCUUCUCGGCGCCUCUCGUAGGCGUUUCGAAAAUGAAUCAAAACUUUCAACAACGGAUCUCUUGGUUCUGGCAUCGAUGAAGAACGCAGCGAAAUGCGAUAAGUAAUGUGAAUUGCAGAAUUCAGUGAAUCAUCGAAUCUUUGAACGCACAUUGCGCCCGCCAGUAUUCUGGCGGGCAUGCCUGUCCGAGCGUCAUUUCAACCCUCGAACCCCUCCGGGGGGUCGGCGUUGGGGAUCGGCCCUCCCUUAGCGGGUGGCCGUCUCCGAAAUACAGUGGCGGUCUCGCCGCAGCCUCUCCUGCGCAGUAGUUUGCACACUCGCAUCGGGAGCGCGGCGCGUCCACAGCCGUUAAACACCCAACUCUGAAAUGUGAC
RNAcentral lists this ribosomal RNA (590 nucleotides) under fungal sp. ARIZ B441. RNAcentral's name for it is "eukaryotic LSU rRNA". The stretch from base 258 to 411 matches the Rfam family "5.8S ribosomal RNA". The record is from RNAcentral. Lineage: Eukaryota; Fungi.